Acanthosepion pharaonis is the source of this 95-nucleotide non-coding RNA. The record is from the annotation of a GenBank genome assembly. Lineage: Eukaryota; Metazoa; Mollusca; Cephalopoda; Sepiida; Sepiidae.
UAAACACCGGGUCCUGUACUAUCACCGAAGUUAAGCAACGCCGAACCUGGUCAGUACUUAGAUGGGUGACCGCUUGGGAAUACUAGGCGCUGUAA